RNAcentral lists this ribosomal RNA (187 nucleotides) under uncultured freshwater bacterium. RNAcentral describes it as "partial 16S ribosomal RNA". It matches the Rfam family "Bacterial small subunit ribosomal RNA", at positions 338 to 519 of the family's 1533-position model. The record is from RNAcentral.
CCUACGGGAGGCAGCAGUGGGGAAUUUUGGACAAUGGGCGCAAGCCUGAUCCAGCAAUGCCGCGUGCAGGAAGAAGGCCUUCGGGUUGUAAACUGCUUUUGUACGGAACGAAACGGUCCUGGUUAAUACCCGGGGCUAAUGACGGUACCGUAAGAAUAAGCACCGGCUAACUACGCCAGACGCCCCC